GUUUUGUAUUUUUUAUAGUUGCAUUUAGUGUGCCAAAAAAUAUGCAAACUUGAUGUUCGUGACGUCACAUACAAUAUGAAAACUUGACGUUCGUGACGUUACAUACCAAACAAUGACGUCAUUAAAAAAAAUGACCUAUUUUGAGGAAAUUUUUUCUUAAGCAAAAAAAAAAAACAAAAAACUUUAUGUAAAAAAAAAAAAAAAAAAAAAAGGUAUGCGAUACGGGUUUUACCAUGCGAUACGGGGUAUGCGAUACGGGUUUAGCUAUGCGAUACGGGUAUGCGAUACAGGGUAGGUGAUACAGAC
Molecule: long non-coding RNA, 306 nt
Filed under: Mytilus galloprovincialis (Mediterranean mussel)
Lineage: Eukaryota; Metazoa; Mollusca; Bivalvia; Mytilida; Mytilidae
Source: RNAcentral